This 28-nucleotide small RNA is filed under the name Bombyx mori (domestic silkworm). RNAcentral describes it as "ovarian small RNA-18766". Lineage: Eukaryota; Metazoa; Arthropoda; Insecta; Lepidoptera; Bombycidae. The record is from RNAcentral.
UAACCUCAACAUUAUUAGUGUACGUGCC